Molecule: ribosomal RNA, 547 nt
Filed under: uncultured bacterium
Lineage: Bacteria
Description: bacterial SSU rRNA
Rfam family: Bacterial small subunit ribosomal RNA
Source: RNAcentral
GAAUAGACUACCCGGGUAGUCCACGCCGUAAACGAUGAGUGCUAAGUGUUAGGGGGUUUCCGCCCCUUAGUGCUGCAGCUAACGCAUUAAGCACUCCGCCUGGGGAGUACGGUCGCAAGACUGAAACUCAAAGGAAUUGACGGGGGGCCCGCACAAGCGGUGGAGCAUGUGGUUUAAUUCGAAGCAACGCGAAGAACCUUACCAGGUCUUGACAUCCCAUUGACCGCUAUGGAGACAUAGCUUUCCCUUCGGGGACAGUGGUGACAGGUGGUGCAUGGUUGUCGUCAGCUCGUGUCGUGAGAUGUUGGGUUAAGUCCCGCAACGAGCGCAACCCUUGUUCUUAGUUACCAUCAUUUAGUUGGGCACUCUAAGGAGACUGCCGGUGACAAACCGGAGGAAGGCGGGGAUGACGUCAAAUCAUCAUGCCCCUUAUGACCUGGGCUACACACGUGCUACAAUGGACGGUACAAACGGUUGCCAACCCGCGAGGGGGAGCUAAUCCGAUAAAACCGUUCUCAGUUCGGAUUGUAGGCUGCAACUCGCCUAC